CCAAAACCCCACAACAUAUCAAAAUUAUUCUACACCUCAACUACUUCAAAUUGGAGCUUUCAUGUGCAAAUUAGUGUCUCAAAUCAUCAUCUUAUAUUUUGGGGAACUGAGGUAAGGUUCAAGACUUGGUUUUCUCUCCUUUCUUCCUCUGUCCAGCGAGCUCUAAGUCUUAAUUCCAAUUUCUUAAUUUUUCUAUUGUUGUACGUGGUGUUUUGAGGAAAUGCAAACUCCUGGGUUUGAGGGAGAUCAAGUUCAUAACCUUUCAAUUAACCAUUCAGGAAAAAUAAGAAAGAGCUUUCAAAGUUUUGGAGUUUAAAGAAUUGGGUUGGUGAUUUUAGAGAAAUUUAUGUUGAAACCCGUAUUCCUGGAUAUACUCUCACUAAAAAGGUAACUCCUCUUUCUCUGUAACUCCGAUUGAGAUUCCGUCUGUUUCUAUGGAAAGCUGACGUUUUUCCCGUCGUUUCGGCACCUGAUUUGUAAAUUAUGGUUUAGGGAUGAGCUCUAUGGACGUGUUUGAAGUUGGAGUUCUGAAGCUGAUUAUGCAGAAAAAAUCAGUCAUGGAAGUUGCGUAUUUGAGCGACACCAACAGACGUUUAAGAGCGUGUGGAACAACUCGGAAUUGCUAAACAUCCCAGGUGGGUUCCUUUAGAAGCUUAACUUUUAGAUUAGUUAGCACCUUUAGGUUCCCCAAAUUCAAUAUAUGUAUGAUAACAUUAGUAUUAGUUAGGAAAUUAGUCUCCCCAAAAUUAUGCACGACAACAAUAGAGAAAAUUAGAAAAUAAUUGUGUGAGAAUGUUUAAUCCCAAAACCAUCUCCAUUCUAAUUAUAUAAUAAUAUUUUAGUUGCUUAUGAUUGGACAUGAUUGGGAUUGUAGGUGGAAACUGAUAAACUCUUUUAAAAGUAAAAACUGAGAAUUGAACUGGUAUUCUCGCAUACCGAGCAUCUUGCUUCGCUAAGCGAGCGUAUCAGAUUAGGACUCUGUAGAAAUCAACAUUUUAAAUAAAAAUCUACUCGUUUUAUAUCCCUGACUAUUCUGGAAUAUUUCGUAAGCAGCGUAAUAAUAUUAUGUGAUUAGAAUGUUUAUCACGCUCAGGAAAUUAGGUUCAGGAAUUAGGACAGUUAGAAUUACCCCGGGAAGGUUUUCUUUCUUUUGGGUAGGAUAACCAUUCAGGAUUAGAAAUUAUGUUUCAGAAUAUAUCAGGAUGUUUGGUCAUUAGUACNNNNNNNNNNNNNNNNNNNNNNNNNNNNNNNNNNAAUUAUUAUGUGUGUUACACCUUUAUUGCUUUAUUAUCAUAUUAUGAAAACUUCAAGAUUAUGUCAUGAUUAGACUAUUAGAUAUUCAGGUUCAGGUUAAAGUUAGAAACUAUUAGUUUCAGUUGCCCCGGUGUAGUCACCAGUAGUUGGGCAGUAGGAGCUCACUGAGGCUUAGUAGUCUCAUCUCACGACUUUCAAUUUUUUUAGGUAAACAGGUUAACCGGAGCAAGGACCAGGCAGAAACUGAUGAUCGAGGUUGAGCUUGGAUUAUCGGAUUAGAAGACUACCGUCUUCUUUUUUGUUUUUUGUUAAUCUGUUAUUAAGAUUUCAGUCAUCAUUUCAGCUGUGUUGUAUUGAUUAUCACAUUAUUCUCGUGAUAAUUUGUAAUUCGAUUAAUUAUUUUGUAAAUUUUAUGUACUCAGAUUCAAUUAUUAAUAUCUCGAC
Molecule: long non-coding RNA, 1698 nt
Filed under: Trifolium pratense (red clover)
Lineage: Eukaryota; Viridiplantae; Streptophyta; Magnoliopsida; Fabales; Fabaceae
Description: long non-coding RNA (TPRA_LNC008303)
Source: RNAcentral